RNAcentral lists this ribosomal RNA (496 nucleotides) under uncultured bacterium. RNAcentral describes it as "partial 16S ribosomal RNA". It matches the Rfam family "Bacterial small subunit ribosomal RNA", at positions 28 to 506 of the family's 1533-position model. The record is from RNAcentral.
GACGAACGCUGGCGGCGUGCCUAAUACAUGCAAGUUGAGCGAUGAAGAUUGGUGCUUGCACCAAUUUGAAGAGCAGCGAACGGGUGAGUAACGCGUGGGGAAUCUGCCUUUGAGCGGGGGACAACAUUUGGAAACGAAUGCUAAUACCGCAUAACAACUUUAAACAUAAGUUUUAAGUUUGAAAGAUGCAAUUGCAUCACUCAAAGAUGAUCCCGCGUUGUAUUAGCUAGUUGGUGAGGUAAAGGCUCACCAAGGCGAUGAUACAUAGCCGACCUGAGGGGGUGAUCGGCCACAUAGGGACUGAGACACGGCCCAAACUCCUACGGGAGGCAGCAGUAGGGAAUCUUCGGCAAUGGACGAAAGUCUGACCGAGCAACGCCGCGUGAGUGAAGAAGGUUUUCGGAUCGUAAAACUCUGUUGGUAGAGAAGAACGUUGGUGAGAGUGGAAAGCUCAUCAAGUGACGGUAACUACCCAGAAAGGGACGGCUAACUACGU